RNAcentral lists this ribosomal RNA (191 nucleotides) under uncultured bacterium. Its description in RNAcentral is "partial 16S ribosomal RNA". It matches the Rfam family "Bacterial small subunit ribosomal RNA", at positions 1303 to 1500 of the family's 1533-position model. The record is from RNAcentral.
GUCUGCAACUCGACUCCAUGAAGCUGGAUUCGCUAGUAAUCGCGCAUCAGCCAUGGCGCGGUGAAUACGUUCCCGGGCCUUGUACACACCGCCCGUCAAGCCAUGGAAGCCGGGGGGUGCCUGAAGUGCGUGACCGCAAGGAGCGCCCUAAGGUAAAACCGGUGACUGGGGCUAAGUCGUAACAAGGUAAC